AUUGAACGCUGGCGGCAGGCCUAACACAUGCAAGUCGAGCGGAGGAAGGGAGCUUGCUCCUGGAUUCAGCGGCGGACGGGUGAGUAAUGCCUAGGAAUCUGCCUGGUAGUGGGGGAUAACGUCCGGAAACGGGCGCUAAUACCGCAUACGUCCUGAGGGAGAAAGUGGGGGAUCUUCGGACCUCACGCUAUCAGAUGAGCCUAGGUCGGAUUAGCUAGUUGGUGGGGUAAAGGCCUACCAAGGCGACGAUCCGUAACUGGUCUGAGAGGAUGAUCAGUCACACUGGAGCUGAGACACGGUCCCGCCUCCUACGGGAGGCAGCAGUGGGGAAUCUUGGACAAUGGGCGAAAGCCUGAUCCAGCCAUGCCGCGUGUGUGAAGAAGGUCUUCGGCUUGUAAAGCACUUUAAGUUGGGAGGAAGGGCAGUAAGUUAAUACCUUGCUGUUUUGCCGUUACCAACAGAAUAAGCACCGGCUAACUUCGU
Molecule: ribosomal RNA, 483 nt
Filed under: uncultured bacterium
Lineage: Bacteria
Description: partial 16S ribosomal RNA
Rfam family: Bacterial small subunit ribosomal RNA
Source: RNAcentral